This 1245-nucleotide ribosomal RNA is filed under the name metagenome. RNAcentral's name for it is "bacterial LSU rRNA". It matches the Rfam family "Bacterial large subunit ribosomal RNA", at positions 1564 to 2819 of the family's 2925-position model. The record is from RNAcentral.
UGAAUACGAGACGCUAAGGCGUCGAAGUAGUGUAUGUCAUACUUCCAAGAAAAGCUUGCACUGUCAUAGAUAAAAAACGCCUGUACCAUAACCGACACAGGUGGGUAGGUAGAGUAUACUAAGGGGCGCGAGAUAACUCUCUCUAAGGAACUCGGCAAAAUAACUCCGUAACUUCGGGAGAAGGAGUGCCUUAUUCGUAAGGUUGCAAUAACAAGAUCCAAGCAACUGUUUAUCAAAAACACAGGUCUCCGCUAAGUCGUAAGACGAUGUAUGGGGGCUGACGCCUGCCCAGUGCCAGAAGGUUAAAGAAGUUGGUUAGCAAUUGCGAAGCUGAUAACUGAAGCCCUGGUGAACGGCGGCCGUAACAAUAACGGUCCUAAGGUAGCGAAAUUCCUUGUCGGGUAAGUUCCGACCCGCACGAAAGGCGUAAUGAUUUGGAUACUGUCUCGGAGAGGGGCUCGGUGAAAUAGACUUGUCUGUGAAGAUGCGGACUACCUGCACCAGGACAGAAAGACCCUAUGAAGCUUUACUGUAACUUGAAAUUGAAAUUGGACUUUAUUCGCGCAGUAUAGGUGGGAGGCGUUGAUUAUAAUCUUGUGGGAUUAUUGGAGCCAUCAGUGAGAUACCACUCUUGUAAUGUUAGAUUUCUAACUUUGAAUCAUUAUCUGGUCAAAGAACAGUUUCAGGCGGGCAGUUUGACUGGGGCGGUCGCCUCCUAAACGGUAACGGAGGCGUACAAAGGUUUCCUCUGAACGGUUAGAAAUCGUAUCUAGAGUGUAAAGGCAUAAGGAAGCUUGACUGUGAGACCUACAAGUCGAGCAGGGACGAAAGUCGGUCUUAGUGAUCUGACGGUACUGAGUGGAAAGGCCGUCACUCAACGGAUAAAAGUUACUCUAGGAUAACAGGCUGAUCUCCCCCAAGAGUUCACAUCGACGGGGAGGUUUGGCACCUCGAUGUCGGCUCAUCGCAUCCUGGGGCGGUAGUACGUCCCAAGGGUUGGGCUGUUCGCCCAUGAAAGCGGUACGCGAGCUGGGUUCAGAACGUCGUGAGACAGUUCGGUCCAUAUCCGGUGUAGGCGUUAGAAUAUUGAGAGGAGCCUUCUUUAGUACGAGAGGACCGAGAAGGACAUACCUCUGGUGUACCAGUUAUCGUGCCAACGGUAAACGCUGGGUAGCUAUGUAUGGAGUGGAUAACCGCUGAAAGCAUCUAAGUGGGAAGCCCACCUCAAGAUAAGUAUUCUCAUCA